GUCCCUGUAGCGCAAUGGAUAGCGCCUUGGACUUCUAUUCCAAAGGUUGUGGGUUCGAAUCCCACCUGGGAUG
RNAcentral lists this transfer RNA (73 nucleotides) under Trichonephila inaurata madagascariensis. It matches the Rfam family "tRNA". From Rfam's summary of the family: Transfer RNA (tRNA) molecules are approximately 80 nucleotides in length. Their secondary structure includes four short double-helical elements and three loops (D, anti-codon, and T loops). Lineage: Eukaryota; Metazoa; Arthropoda; Arachnida; Araneae; Nephilidae. The record is from Rfam by way of RNAcentral.